This is a small nuclear RNA of Hippopotamus amphibius kiboko, 107 nucleotides long. NCBI's taxonomy places the organism in Eukaryota, Metazoa, Chordata, Mammalia, Artiodactyla, Hippopotamidae. The record is from RefSeq and is a predicted model, not a curated record.
GUGCUCACUUCGGCAGCACAUAUGCUAAAACUGGAAUGACGCAGAGAACAUUACCAUGGCCUCUGUGCAAGGAAGACACACAAAUUUGUAAAGCAUUCCACAUUUUU